CUUUAAAAUUGGGUGUAGGGUCUGAUAAACUCAUAUAGUGUUAUGAGUGUUGUCAUCAGCUUCUUCUUUUGUAUCAACAUGUUUGGAGUUAAAUAACAGCACUACAUUU
RNAcentral lists this small nucleolar RNA (109 nucleotides) under Solanum tuberosum (potato). RNAcentral describes it as "Small nucleolar RNA snoR97". It matches the Rfam family "Small nucleolar RNA snoR97". The record is from Rfam by way of RNAcentral. Lineage: Eukaryota; Viridiplantae; Streptophyta; Magnoliopsida; Solanales; Solanaceae.